GGGGAAUAUUGCGCAAUGGGGGCAACCCUGACGCAGCAACGCCGCGUGCAGGAAGAAGGUCUUCGGAUUGUAAACUGUUGUCGCAAGGGAAGAAGACAGUGACGGUACCUUGUGAGAAAGUCACGGCUAACUACGUGCCAGCAGCCGCGGUAAUACGUAGGUGACAAGCGUUGUCCGGAUUUACUGGGUGUAAAGGGCGCGCAGGCGGGCCGGCAAGUUGGAAGUGAAAUCCGGGGGCUUAACCCCCGAACUGCUUUCAAAACUGUUUUUCUUGAGUAGUGCAGAGGUAGGCGGAAUUCCCGGUGUAGCGGUGAAAUGCGUAGAUAUUAGGAGGAACACCAGUGGCGAAGGCGGCUUUCUGGACGACAACUGACGCUGAGGCGCGAAAGUGUGGGGAGCAAACAGGAUUAGAUACCCUGGUAGUCCACACCGUAAACGAUGGAUACUAGGUGUAGGAGGUAUCGACCCCUUCUGUGCCGCAGUUAACACAAUAAGUAUCCCACCUGGGGAGUACGACCGCAAGGUUGAAACUCAAAGGAAUUGACGGGGGCCCGCACAAGCAGUGGAGUAUGUGGUUUAAUUCGAAGCAACGCGAAGAACCUUACCUGGGCUUGACAUCCCUGGAAUCGAGUAGAGAUACUUGAGUGCCUUCGGGAAUCAGGUGACAGGUGGUGCAUGGUUGUCGUCAGCUCGUGUCGUGAGAUGUUGGGUUAAGUCCCGCAACGAGCGCAACCCUUAUCAUUAGUUGCCAGCGAGUAGAGUCGGGAACUCUAAUGAGACUGCCGGGGACAACUCGGAGGAAGGUGGGGAUGACGUCAAAUCAUCAUGCCCCUUAUGUCUUGGGCUACACACGUGCUACAAUGGCCGGUACAAAGGGCAGCGAAACCGUAAGGUCAAGCGAAUCUCAAAAAGCCGGUCCCAGUUCGGAUUGUGGGCUGCAACCCGCCCACAUGAAGUUGGAGUUGCUAGUAAUCGCGAAUCAGCAUGUCGCGGUGAAUGCGUUCCCG
RNAcentral lists this ribosomal RNA (1007 nucleotides) under uncultured bacterium. Its description in RNAcentral is "bacterial SSU rRNA". It matches the Rfam family "Bacterial small subunit ribosomal RNA", at positions 356 to 1376 of the family's 1533-position model. The record is from RNAcentral.